RNAcentral lists this ribosomal RNA (1155 nucleotides) under Triticum aestivum (bread wheat). Its description in RNAcentral is "partial small subunit ribosomal RNA". Lineage: Eukaryota; Viridiplantae; Streptophyta; Magnoliopsida; Poales; Poaceae. The record is from RNAcentral.
AUGCUUUCAAAGGGACUUCCUGAUUGUGGCCGAAAAGAGCUAAAAAAGUGGAACCCAUCUGGCAAUAGCUCUUUAAAAUUCGUUUCAGUGAGUUCUUUCAAUUUGGAAAUCACUAGUCUUCUUCUAUGCAACAACAAUUUUUCAAGUGGAUUUCCCUUGCUCCUACGACAAUGUCCAAGUCUUAUUUUCCUCGAUCUAACUCAAAAUAGAUUCACCGGAGAGUUGCCAGGAUGGAUUAGUGAAGCCAUGCCCGGUUUGGUUAUGCUACGGUUAAGAUCGAACAACUUUUCUGGUCACAUUCCAGUUGAAAUCAUGGGACUUCAUGCUAUUUCUAUUCUUGAUCUGUCCGAUAAUAACUUUGAUGGGGCCAUACCGCCAUAUAUAGAAAACUUGAAAGCUUUGAGUAGCACUAAUACAAUAUUUCGUGAUCCUUUUGUAGAGGAUGAAAGUGGUGAGAAUAGUAUCACUGAUAUAGGAAGGGUUAAUGAUAGCAUCACGGUGGUGAUGAAAGGGCAAGCGCUUGAGUAUGGGGCCAAUAUUGUAUAUUUGAUGAGCAUUGAUUUGUCUUGCAACAAUUUGACUGGAGAAAUCCCAGAGGAAGUAAGCUCCCUUGUUGGUCUCAAAAGUUUGAAUUUAUCAUCAAACUUGUUGAGUGGAAAUAUCCCGUAUAAUAUUGGAAAACUUCGAUUAGUGGAGUCUCUUGACCUCUCGAGGAACAAACUAGGUGGUGAAAUCCCUCAGAGCUUAUCAGAUUUGACAUACCUGAGCUAUUUAAACUUGUCGUACAAUAAUCUGUCUAGAAGAAUACCCGCAGGGCAUCAACUCGACACCCUCAAUACAGAUGACCCAACCUCUAUGUACACUGGUAAUCCUGCUCUUUGUGGACAUCCAAUUCCAAGGCAAUGUCCUGGUCCGCCUAGAGAUCAACAAACCAACGGAGAUCCAGCAAGGUUGCCUCGAGAUGGCUUGUCUCAAAUGGAUUUUCUUCUUGGAUCAAUUGUUGGCUUUGUGGCGAGCGCAUGGACGGUGUUUUUUGGACUUUUCUUCAUGAAGAGAUGGAGGUAUGCUUAUUUUGGGGUACUCGACAAGCUAUACGAUAGGUUGUAUGUCAUUUUUCUUGUUACUUGGAAAAAGUGGUUCGGACCACGGGUGUGA